This 1389-nucleotide ribosomal RNA is filed under the name Vibrio azureus. Its description in RNAcentral is "bacterial SSU rRNA". It matches the Rfam family "Bacterial small subunit ribosomal RNA", at positions 65 to 1443 of the family's 1533-position model. Lineage: Bacteria; Pseudomonadati; Pseudomonadota; Gammaproteobacteria; Vibrionales; Vibrionaceae. The record is from RNAcentral.
AGUUAUCAGAACCUUCGGGGGACGAUAACGGCGUCGAGCGGCGGACGGGUGAGUAAUGCCUAGGAAAUUGCCCUGAUGUGGGGGAUAACCAUUGGAAACGAUGGCUAAUACCGCAUGAUGCCUACGGGCCAAAGAGGGGGACCUUCGGGCCUCUCGCGUCAGGAUAUGCCUAGGUGGGAUUAGCUAGUUGGUGAGGUAAGGGCUCACCAAGGCGACGAUCCCUAGCUGGUCUGAGAGGGCGAUCAGCCACACUGGAACUGAGACACGGUCCAGACUCCUACGGGAGGCAGCAGUGGGGAAUAUUGCACAAUGGGCGCAAGCCUGAUGCAGCCAUGCCGCGUGUGUGAAGAAGGCCUUCGGGUUGUAAAGCACUUUCAGUCGUGAGGAAGGUAGUGUAGUUAAUAGCUGCAUUAUUUGACGUUAGCGACAGAAGAAGCACCGGCUAACUCCGUGCCAGCAGCCGCGGUAAUACGGAGGGUGCGAGCGUUAAUCGGAAUUACUGGGCGUAAAGCGCAUGCAGGUGGUUUGUUAAGUCAGAUGUGAAAGCCCGGGGCUCAACCUCGGAAUUGCAUUUGAAACUGGCAGACUAGAGUACUGUAGAGGGGGGUAGAAUUUCAGGUGUAGCGGUGAAAUGCGUAGAGAUCUGAAGGAAUACCGGUGGCGAAGGCGGCCCCCUGGACAGAUACUGACACUCAGAUGCGAAAGCGUGGGGAGCAAACAGGAUUAGAUACCCUGGUAGUCCACGCCGUAAACGAUGUCUACUUGGAGGUUGUGGCCUUGAGCCGUGGCUUUCGGAGCUAACGCGUUAAGUAGACCGCCUGGGGAGUACGGUCGCAAGAUUAAAACUCAAAUGAAUUGACGGGGGCCCGCACAAGCGGUGGAGCAUGUGGUUUAAUUCGAUGCAACGCGAAGAACCUUACCUACUCUUGACAUCCAGAGAACUUUCCAGAGAUGGAUUGGUGCCUUCGGGAACUCUGAGACAGGUGCUGCAUGGCUGUCGUCAGCUCGUGUUGUGAAAUGUUGGGUUAAGUCCCGCAACGAGCGCAACCCUUAUCCUUGUUUGCCAGCGAGUAAUGUCGGGAACUCCAGGGAGACUGCCGGUGAUAAACCGGAGGAAGGUGGGGACGACGUCAAGUCAUCAUGGCCCUUACGAGUAGGGCUACACACGUGCUACAAUGGCGCAUACAGAGGGCAGCCAACUUGCGAAAGUGAGCGAAUCCCAAAAAGUGCGUCGUAGUCCGGAUUGGAGUCUGCAACUCGACUCCAUGAAGUCGGAAUCGCUAGUAAUCGUGGAUCAGAAUGCCACGGUGAAUACGUUCCCGGGCCUUGUACACACCGCCCGUCACACCAUGGGAGUGGGCUGCAAAAGAAGUAGGUAGUUUAACCUUC